This is a long non-coding RNA of Sycon ciliatum, 6499 nucleotides long. RefSeq lists it as uncharacterized. The transcript is spliced from 3 exons. NCBI's taxonomy places the organism in Eukaryota, Metazoa, Porifera, Calcarea, Leucosolenida, Sycettidae. The record is from RefSeq and is a predicted model, not a curated record.
CACCAGAGGUUUUUUCUCUCUUUUGUCUUCAUUGUUGUCAUGUCGCUUUGAUACCGACGCCACUUUGUAGGGUUGCUGGAAAGCAGGCAAAGUUAGCAAGGCAUGCAAAGCUGUGGUAGCGACGGCAGUUCGGCAGUCUGUCCGGGUGACGGUAACCUCGUUCGGUAGCUCUAGCACGCCGUUGGAGUCUCGCCGUCUAGCCCAGCUUGGUUUGGAACAGCGCUCGGUGAAGAGAAUCUACGCGUGCGGACGACUUGUGCUAGGGCGUUUGGGCGCAGGGAACCGCGGGUGCUGGCAGUCGCAUCCUGCAACAGGAAAUUUGUCCGAAUACUUGUACCUGAGUAGCCGUCCCAUCGGAUCUCGAAGGACUAGGUGAGUUUCGUUCAUGGCAUCAUGUACUGUUAUCCCCCAACGGGAUGAUCGCUGUGGACGUAAUACGUAUUGAUUCAGUCGCGUUGUGGCGACACAAGUUUAAAUUAAAUUUUACUGUUUCUACCGAAUAUCUCAGUACAAAGUCCAGUAAAUGUUUCCAUUGGUCCCUAAGAGGUAUGUUAGAUCUGGACACGCUAAGUUGUCUGGGUGACACUAGCCCAAAAGGCGUAUGUAAACGUGGUACAAGACUUACAGUAUGCACUGAUCUCCUGAACUCUCAGACUCUACAAUGCAUGUACAGUGUUGCUCAAUGAAAUCCAGUCGCGUCACUCAAGUACACACCGGGCGUUCCAUGGACCUAGACAAGGGAACACUACAGUCCAUUCAGAAAAAGACGAGCGCUGGCUCUGGAGAGCUCCCGUGUUUGGUGAUUUGCCAGUGCCGCGAGAUUCGAAACUCGAAAAGGGUCCAAAAAAGAUACCUCACCUGGGGUUUGAACCGCAAAUGUACUGUUCUGCAAGUGGAGUGCGGGGGUUGGAUUUCCAUGGCUUUUCCCCAAUUCAGUGCUUUGGGGGCAGAACAUGGCCGGAAUCAUAUUCUUGUUAUGGCUUGCUCUUUGGAGAAAAAAACUUCCAAAACAUAAUUGGAAGAGCAUUCCAUGGGCGAUUGCCAAAAAAUUGUGACAAAACUCAAAAUUUGACCCAUUUAUGGCCAAGAGCUAGGAUAUCAUCUUUUUCUGAAUGGACUUUAGGCUGUGAAAUGGUGCAAGGCGCAAACUUGAGAUUUCACGACUGGAUUUCAGGGAGCAGGACUGUACACGCUUGUAUUGGGCACUUUAGCGUAAGAGCUGCUGUAGUCUACCGUAGGAUCCCACAGAUAGGCUCACUAUCUCGUUGGAGAGUUCUUGUAUGAUGCACAUUGCCAUAGCGACCAGAGCAGUGAUGGUGCACAUUUUGCUUCCAUCAGGAAUACAAUCAGACAAUUGAAAAUGACAAUAUCCUGAAGUGUCCGACCGUCUCUCUCGCGGAGCUAAGCGGAAUGUGCGUCAUCACUGCGCUGGUCGCUAUGGCAGCGUGGAUCAUGCUUUUGGCGAUUUGGCAAGUUUGGUUCAUUGUAUGCAAGCGAUAGAUAUGCCAUUCGAACCGACGUCAAAUUGUCUUUCACGCUGAACCCUACUUGACAAAUCGAUGCAUUUGCCCCUGAAAAUCGUGUUGAUUGUGUUGGUACUGGAAUGGCUCAAGCGAAAACAAGUUGUGCUGCCACCGGGGACAGUCAAUUCCAGUGCACGAGUGCUAGGCGGGACGCGAGAAAGUUGAAUUAAAGUUGCAUUGAACCAAGAUCAUAGUUCAACACUCUCCGUCAUGGACUCUGGUUUUAGCAGUAUUAGCUGGUUUAUAUUCCUGCUGAUUUUCUCGCUACUUCUGAGUCAUAUUCCUGCAUGUCAGUAAGCCUAUGUCCAGGCCCAGAGCUUGAACAUGAUGACGUCGGAAGUCAACAGGGAACAACGUCUGUGUGGAAUUGGACUUACACUUACCAUAGCAAAGUACAGUAUGCAGUUGGAAAGGCCCUUGUGUUGCAUGUGUAACAGGAGGGGGUCUCCGACCAGGAGAGCACAGGUCUGUUACUGACAGCAAAUGCUUCAGCCUUGUGUGUAGAAGACCACCCAUAUGUGUAGGCAUCUGGACAAAAUCUGAAUCCAGGUGAAUCCAAAAUUCAGUGUUGUCAUGACACUGGGUGAUAGUACUUUCAAGACCUCUUAGCCAACCCUACAGCAUAUCUCAACCUUAUUAUAAUCCCGCCGGAGAUCUGUUUGUAUGUAUGUGCCUGUGUGCCACAAAUCUUCAUUGCAAUGCAUCCAGGACACAAUCUUGUGUUAAUGCGUAUGUGUUGUCCCAGCCCUUUUCGAGGGUAUGUGCCCCUUUUGGCACGUGUGUGCUGGGUCCGCGUGGUCGGUGUGCGGACCGCGAGCGGACCGCGCAGGUUGCGCAUGUCUGCAUUUGGGCGCAUUCUUGUUGUUCUGGUUUUGCCUUCUUGUUGAGAUUUUCUUUGGAGUAAAGACAAAUAUCAGUCUUCUGUUUGUGGUACAUGUGAGAGAGUAAUCGGAAGGGCUAUCGUCAGGUCAAAAAAAAAACCGACGACAAUUGGCACCCGGCUAGUGGCAUCGUCCCCACGACCCUGCGAUAAACCUGUCGUCCGCGGUCUUUCCGGUUUCUUUUUUCUUCACCUGCCUCCUGCGUUCUUUGGCGAUCCCUCUGUGCUUUAUGUCUCGGCAAGUCUCCUUCGCGCGUCCAAGCUGGCCGCCAGCGAGGCAAUUCAGGUAAGCCAGAGCAGCUGCUUUUAGUUCACUGCUAGACAUUGUUGGGGCAUUAGCCUGUAAAGCCUGUAUUGUGACAUUUGUUUAGUGUUGGCCUGCUUGUGUCGACGUAGUCCUGCUAUGGGUCACUGUACCCUCCGGGUGUAUUUUUGUUCCUCUGUGUUUCGUUACCUGGAGUAGUUGUGGCCUCAUGUCUAAGGUUACAGUAGAAGCGCCUGGAAGAUGGCUGAUACCGAAACCGUUCGGGAGAGGAUCUCCAGGCCUUCCUGAACGAUUUAAGGUUAUGUUUGCAGGCUAAUAAGUAUAUCCCAGUUACCCAACCCCAUGACACGAUUGAUGCGGCCUCGCAGGGGAGGUUAGAAUUAAUGGCCCGUGUUGUGUUGUGUACGAGCCUCACUGGCAGUGCGGCUCUCAUGUUGGAAUCCUUGUCGGACAUGCAGCAGGAGGAUCGCGCGGAGAUCGAGACCGCUCUGCAUGCUCGCUUUGGUGACACGGGCAAGGAGUUGCUCCGCCAAACUGAGCUUCAGGCUCGGAAACGCCAGGCGGGUGAGACCCUAACUGAAUUGGGCAACGCUAUCCAGGUAUUGGUGGCUAAGGCAUAUCCGGGGGCGCCUGGUACCAUUCUUAACACCGUGUCUAUCCGUACUUUUGUGGACGCUUUGUCUCCCCACGUCGUGUGGAGGACCACAAGCCGCAGACGCUAGUGCACGCCGUUCAAAAGGCAGUCGUCCUGGAGACGCCGGACCAGUUGCGCCCGGCCGCUGAACCUGUGUUCGUCGCGUCGGCCACGCCUGAAAUCACGGCGCGCCUGGAUAGUUUGGAGAAAUUAUGUGCAACGCAAACCAGUCUGCUCGAAAGCCUCUGUGCGCAGCGCGAGAGUCCGGCUCCCGACCACUGGUCACGAGGUCCACGCUGUUUUGGUUGUGGCCAACUUGGUCACCUCCGCCGAGAUUGUCACUCAAAUCCACGUGACCGUGGGCGUAAUCCUCGUGAACACCAGGUUAACACCAGAUCUUUAAACUAGAUGAGGCGGCUGGUGUGGGUCGUCCCACCGCCUUACCUAGGCGUGUUGGUUCUACUGAGGAAAUAGCUGUAGCCCUACCUAUUUUUGUAGAGGAGGAGAAUGAGUGUGACCCUGAUACAUGUAUGCAUGUGUGCAUCAGUGACGCCGACCUCGCUGAGUCGGUGGUGGUUCCGCCAGGUACGAUUCCGGAGAUUGUGAUAACACCAGAUAUUGAGCCUGUGUUGUUUUCUAAUGCUGCCUCUCUGUCUGUGUGCGUUGUGUGUGAUGUGUGUGCUUUCGAGCAUACUCCGGCGGAAUCUCACCUAUGUACUCUGGCUUCCGCUCCGCUGUCCACCCCACCGUCUAUUCCGGUCGAGUUAUCGGAUUCCCUCCCGGUGGAGGCUGUCAUGGCUUACACCGAUGCGGUUCCGUUCUACAUCCACCGCGCCGGCACCAGUCUCUUUGCACAAGCGUGGUGUGUGUUUAGGGCAGUUCCUGCCGGUGGAGGGCUCUCGAUCGGAUGUUCCGACAAUGGUGGGCGCGGCAGUGGGUGUGCAGUCGGUGUCAUCCACAUCUUCUCCGGCGGACCGGUUUGAUCUCUCUCGCUUUGCGGGCACGGCGCAGGAACGUCAAUCUCUGGUCAGUCUCUUGAACAAAUUUGGGGAUGUGAUUGCAGAAGGCGACUGUGAUGUUGAGGAAACCCCUAUUCUCGAACAUGUUAUUGAUACAGGGACCACACACCCUAUCCGCCAAGGCCCCCGACGCCUUUCCCGCCCAGGGUUAGGAUUGUUGCCGAGGAGGUGGAGAAGAUGUUAGGAAAGGGUAUCAUCUCCCCUAGUGUGUCCCCUUGGGCUAGCCCCAUUGUAUUGGUAAAAAAGCCCGACGGUUCGGUCCAGUUUUGUGUAGACUACCGUAAACUGAAUGACGUCACCCACAAAGACUCCCACCCAUUACCUCGGAUUUAUGAUACACUCGAUAGGCUGGGUGGGGCUCAGUUUUUCUCGAUACUGGACUUACAGUCCGGCUAUUUGCAAGUUCCGGUGGCGGGAAAAGACCAGGAGAAAACAGCUUUCAUCACGUCACAGGGUUUCUAUGAGUUCAAACGUAUGCCUUUUGGUCUAUGUAAUGCUCCGGCCACAUUUCAACGCAUGAUGCAUGCUGUCCUGCGGGGUCUUUCUCCCCUGUAUUGUUUAGUUUAUUUGGACGGCGUCAUUGUUUUCUCGCACACGUUUCGAGACCACUUGCCCAGGUUGGAGGCGGUGUUGACCGCGUUGCGACACGCCAGGUUGAAGAUUAAACCAAGGAAAUGCCAUCUCUUAUUAGGAGAGGUUAAUUUCCUUGGCCAUGUGGUUUUGGCAGAGGGGAUCACAACUGAUCCGGAAAAGGUCCAGGCAGCACGUGAGUGGAAGGCGCCAACCAAUCUAAAGUUAUUACCCGCUUUUCCGCGAUCGCACAUCCGCUGCAUGAUCUGCUCCGUAGGGACGUUUCGUUUGCGUGGUCAGCUGAACAUCAGGCUGUGUUUCGGAAGUUGUGUGUAGCGUUUUGUGAGGCACCUAUUUUGGCAAUUCCGGAUUUUUCUCUACCUUUUAAUGUUGACACUGAUGCCAGUGUUUCCGGCUUAGGUGCGGUGGUCGAGGCGCACGCCGGUUAAACAUCUGGCCAUUUUGGUUCAGACCGCAUAUUGGCUCGGCUUCGUAAAGUCGCAUACUGGCCGGGAAUAUCGGUCGAUGUCUCGGUGUUUUAUAAAUGUUGUACAGUGUGUGAGCGUGGCAAAGAUUUGCCUAGGGCUCGGCACUGUGCGUGUGGUUGCCCUGUUUGAGGUCAUUACCAUGGAUAUCAUGGGACCCUUACCUCUCACUGCUCGUGGGAAUAAAAUAAUUAUACCCUACAGUCCAUUCAUCGGAAACAGUCCUGCUGGUUUCUGAAAGUCGGAUUUGGGCCGAAUUGAGGAUCAAAAACCCACUGAAAAUCUCAAAAAUCUGGGUUUUGGAUCUGCUUCUCCAUACAUUUUGCAAGGGCAUACCUGUCCUAAUUUUGCAAAACCUGGCUGAAUUUCUAUUUCCCUGUUCUUGGACUUUUUGUGGCCUCAAAUGUGGCAAGGAGUAAAUGGACGGGUCACACAAUGCAGAAUGUAAUGUUUUUUCAUGGUAUCUACAACUAUGUGCGGGAGACACCAAAAAGUUAGAGUGGCAGUUUCCAAUGAAUGGACUGUAGUGGUUGGAGACCAUUUUUCUCAAUGGGUUGAAAUUCUUCCCCUUCAGGACAUGAGAGCUGAGACUGUGGGGGACCUUUUGGUCGAACGGGUAUUUAUGAAGUUUGGUGUCCCUAGCCAGUUGCACUCGGAUCGGGGCCCAAAUUUUGAGAGCCGUCUGAUGUAUGGCUGAAAAGAAUAUUCGAAUAUUCGAUUGAUAUUCGUUAGGAGCCCGAUGGAAGGAAUAUUUUCCCCUUUAGAACAUUCGUUCGUUUUGACACGUGCGCACACUCUGCUCCUGUCGAUCUAUUUGUAGUAAUUCUUGAACGGAUGGAGUGAUAUGUACAUGUGUUUUGUGCUGAGAAAGGGGACUAUGACUCACAGGAGUAGUGGACAUGACUCCACUAGACAUCUACUUGGGCUAGAACAACUGGGGACUAGCCAAACUCUUUCUAAGAUUCUUUAGGUAUAGAAUAUUCGAUUCAUUCACAAAAAAAUCGAUUUAGUUCCUAUUUAAAUAAUUGUUUCACCCUUAGAAAUAAUUCAGCAUUUUGAGAGAAUAUUCGUUAUUCGUUCGUUAUGGAUGAGUAUUCGUUCGUUUGUGAAAUAGAAUAUUCGU